RNAcentral lists this ribosomal RNA (501 nucleotides) under Pseudomonas sp. 01WB04.4-34. Its description in RNAcentral is "bacterial SSU rRNA". It matches the Rfam family "Bacterial small subunit ribosomal RNA", at positions 1 to 502 of the family's 1533-position model. Lineage: Bacteria; Pseudomonadati; Pseudomonadota; Gammaproteobacteria; Pseudomonadales; Pseudomonadaceae. The record is from RNAcentral.
UAGAGUUUGAUCCAUGGCUCAGAUUGAACGCUGGCGGCAGGCCUAACACAUGCAAGUCGAGCGGAUGASAGGAGCUUGCUCCUGGAUUCAGCGGCGGACGGGUGAGUAAUGCCUAGGAAUCUGCCUGGUAGUGGGGGACAACGUUUCGAAAGGAACGCUAAUACCGCAUACGUCCUACGGGAGAAAGCAGGGGACCUUCGGGCCUUGCGCUAUCAGAUGAGCCUAGGUCGGAUUAGCUAGUUGGUGAGGUAAUGGCUCACCAAGGCGACGAUCCGUAACUGGUCUGAGAGGAUGAUCAGUCACACUGGAACUGAGACACGGUCCAGACUCCUACGGGAGGCAGCAGUGGGGAAUAUUGGACAAUGGGCGAAAGCCUGAUCCAGCCAUGCCGCGUGUGUGAAGAAGGUCUUCGGAUUGUAAAGCACUUUAAGUUGGGAGGAAGGGUUGUAGAUUAAUACUCUGCAAUUUUGACGUUACCGACAGAAUAAGCACCGGCUAACU